This 488-nucleotide ribosomal RNA is filed under the name uncultured bacterium. RNAcentral's name for it is "partial 16S ribosomal RNA". It matches the Rfam family "Bacterial small subunit ribosomal RNA", at positions 28 to 507 of the family's 1533-position model. The record is from RNAcentral.
GACGAACGCUGGCGGCGUGCCUAACACAUGCAAGUCGAACGGAAAGGCCCUGCUUUUGUGGGGUGCUCGAGUGGCGAACGGGUGAGUAACACGUGAGUAACCUGCCCUUGACUUUGGGGUAACUUCAGGAAACUGGGGCUAAUACCGCACAGGAGCUCCCGCUGCAUGGUGGGGGUUGGAAAGUUUCGGCGGUUGGGUAUGGACUCGCGGCGUAUCGGCUUGUUGGUGGGGUAAUGGGUUACCAAGGCUGUCAUGGGUAGCCGGACGGAGGGGGGGGCCGGCCACAUUGGGAGGGGGACGGGCACCAUGGGCCUGAGGGACGGAGCAGAAGGGAAUGGGGGGCAAUGGUGGGGAAUCUGGCACAACGGGGCGGAGUCGGAGGAGGAAAUGUCCGGGUCGGGAAGCCCGGCUUUUGGUGAAAAACCGGUUUUGGCUUAGAAGAAGGCGGAGUGACGGUAACUGGUAAAGAAGCACCGGCUAACUACGUG